AGUUCACACAUUACUUGGAACGGAUUAGCAGCCAUUUUGAGAUACAUCGAGAACGUUUAUUUGAUCUGCAGAUUGUUGAUUCGUUGGCAAAAGUCUUUCCUGAGGAAAUGGAAAUUAUUAAAGCCAAGGGGAAUCACCUAGUGAAGAAUUAUUGUGUUAAUCCUGCUCUAUUAAAGACUGCGUCACUAUCACCAAGAAAAUCUCCCAGAAAUCGUUUGCCCGAUGGAACAAACCCAUACUCUACCCAUGUUGCUUCUGAUGAAGAAAUUAUGACAAGACAGUCGUUAACGUUUCGAGAUCUAGGUAAAUCAAUCGGACCAGUUGCUUUUGAAAUGGCAGCAAGAGAAUCUAUAUGGAAACAUAGUUUAGGUACUACAGCUUUAGCUUUAAACACAGAUAUACCAAUCCCUGUAGAGCCUCAAUCAUCCAGAAGCUCGUCCAGAAGAACAAGCAGUAUACAUACCAAACUUUCACCAGAAAAACUUAAAGCAGUAAUAGCUAAAUCAGUCAAACCUAGUCAGGAGGAAGUUCCAGUAAUGACUGGUCGUGAAGCUGUAGAAUAUUUUGCUAAAUGUCAUCAUAUCGGUAAAAUAGAGUCGAUUUAUUUCAAUCUGGCACCAUCACGGUAUUAUAGACCCUAUGAUUUAAUAUCAU
Molecule: RNA transcript, 654 nt
Organism: Patella vulgata (common limpet)
Lineage: Eukaryota; Metazoa; Mollusca; Gastropoda; Patellidae
Exons: 6
Source: RefSeq, a predicted model, not a curated record